RNAcentral lists this ribosomal RNA (579 nucleotides) under uncultured bacterium. RNAcentral describes it as "bacterial SSU rRNA". It matches the Rfam family "Bacterial small subunit ribosomal RNA", at positions 913 to 1503 of the family's 1533-position model. The record is from RNAcentral.
ACGGGGGCCCGCACAAGCGGUGGAGCAUGUGGUUUAAUUCGAGGAUACGCGAGGAACCUUACCAGGGCUUAAAUGUAGGUUGCAUGAUCUAGAGAUAGAUCUUUCUUCGGACUACCUACAAGGUGCUGCAUGGUUGUCGUCAGCUCGUGCCGUGAGGCGUCAGGUUAAGUCCUAUAACGAGCGCAACCCCUGUCGUUAGUUACCAGCAAUUAAAGUUGGGUACUCUAGCGAGACUGCCGGUGCAAACCGUGAGGAAGGUGGGGAUGACGUCAAAUCAUCACGGCCCUUACGUCCUGGGCUACACACGUGCUACAAUGGCCGGCACAGAGAGCAGCCACUACGCGAGUAGGAGCGAAUCUUCAAAGCCGGUCUCAGUUCGGAUCGCAGUCUGCAACUCGACUGCGUGAAGCUGGAAUCGCUAGUAAUCGGAUAUCAGCCAUGAUCCGGUGAAUACGUUCCCGGGCCUUGUACACACCGCCCGUCAAGCCAUGGAAGCUGGGGGUACCUGAAGUCGGUGACCGUAAGGAGCUGCCUAGGGUAAAACUAGUAACUGGGGCUAAGUCGUAACAAGGUAACCAC